UAAUCAUCGUGUUCAUUAGGCCACUGUGGGGCGUUUGAUUCUGGAAGCUUUAAAGACUUCAAAUGGUGUACCUCCAGGAAACCGUGUACGUGUAGUAUUCAGUCCGUGCAUUCUCAGGGAAGAACGGUGCUUUUUCGUCCCCCUCCCAAGCGAAUCUUCCCCAGCCUGUGGUUCACGCUGCACUGGCGAUCGUGUGCGUGAGUGCACGCAGCUGUUUGUCUCGAGCUCCGGGACCAGGCGAUGGGACGCAUGCGUCAGGCACCCGCGCUCCGCUCCGCUCCGGGCCGUGCGACUGAGCGAGCCUUUUGAUUGACAGGUGGAGGGCGAGGCGCGGGCACGGAGCGACGCUCGCUCCCCGCUGCGUCACCCUGCCCCCCCCACCCCGCCCCUCCCCCAAUCACCCCCCGCACCCCAGCAUUGCCCCGCCAGCAACAUGGCGGCGCUCAGCCCGGAGCCCGGAGCCGCAGCGGGGCUACGAGCCGGCGCCCAGCUCUCCGUCACUGUGGAACACGUCGUGAGCGGCACCUUAGUGGUGUCCACCAACUUCGGAGGCAGCAGCUUCACCGGGAUCCUGAUAGACAUGGCCAAAAAGUCUGGUUUGUAUGGUUUACUACCAAACCAGUUUCCUGUUGAAUCAUGCACCAGUGAACUCCUUGAUGGGAAAGAACAGCCAGUCUGUCAGACUGAGUCUCAGCUCUGCAACUUGCAGCAUCCCAAGAUGUCAAACAGAGAACAAGUUUCACCUCUUCAGCCAUUACCAAAAACUGUGCCUUGCUUUCCACCUUAUUGUGAAGGUGUACCUCUGCCACAACCUCUGGUAUUGAGACAAACUUACAAUCAGUGGGUUCCCCAGCCUCCACCUCGGACAAUCAAACGCACCAAAAGGCGCCUGUCAAGGAAUCGUGAUCCUGGUAAGCUUAUAAUGAGCACCAUUAGAUUGCGACCUAGGCAGGUACUGUGUGAAAAGUGCAAAAACACACUAAAUCGUGAGGAAGAGGAUGAUGAUGACAAAGAUAGACACAGCAAUAAGAAUGACAAAAAGACUAGCAUGGAAGAAAAUGAAAAGAGGAAAUCUGAGGUAAUGUGUUGCGAAAAUAGGAAAAUAAAAAAGGAAAAGAAAGAGGAUAAAUUUUCUAGUGAGAUGGUGCAUCGAAGCCCAGUAAUUAAAAUAUCAUACAGCACUCCUCAAGGGAAAGGAAAGGUGGUGAAAAUUCCAUCACGGGUACAUGGCUCAGUUGAGCCAUUUUGUCCUAAACGGUUAGUUCAAAAUGAAAGUGUGGACCAGGACAAGAACACACAUUGUGAUGAGAUGGAGGUUCUUCAAGAAAAGUCGUUUUCUAGUCCAUCUGGAACCAUUCCAAAGCUAAAACUAACUAGGCCUUUGCAUUCCAUGGCAGACAUCCCACCACCUAGAAUUCGAUUAAAACCUCAUCGGCUCAGUAACGGGGACAAUGUUGCAAUUUAUAAGGCUGAGCUUGUAGAUAAUAUAAAUAGUGAAGUGCAACCUGCACGGAGAUCAGAUAGUGGUGCACUUCAUUCUGAAGAAUCCACAGGAAAGAGUUCGGUGGAGACAUCAGGGAGUUCUGGAGAGGAGGACCAAUGGAGGUAUAAAAGGAGUCGUCGAAGCAAGGAUCAAGAUGAUCUGACUGUAUAUUUAAGUUAUAGGAAAAAAAGAGCAGAUUCAUCAAGUUUAUCAGUCUGUAGUAAUGAUAGUCUAGAUGAAUCGAAGUCUUCUAGUUCAGAAAUAACUUCACCAGAAAUAUGUGAUUUUGCACCUGGAGAUGAUGCAUCUGUGUCAUCUUCUUCCAAAGAAGAAAAGACUGUGCCACCCUUAACUGUGAGACUUCAUACCAAAACUGUCACAAAAUGUGUAACAACCGAAGGCAGGACUAUAUCCGUUGGCGAUAUUGUAUGGGGGAAGAUUCAUGGCUUCCCUUGGUGGCCUGCACGCAUUCUUGGCAUUAGUGUUAACAAGAAGGAAAAUGGGACUCCGGUGUGGCAGGAAGCCAGGGUGUCUUGGUUUGGAUCACCUACAACAUCGCUGCUUUCUGUGUCAAAAGUCUCGCCAUUUUUGGAGUAUUUUAAGUUGAGGUUUAACAGGAAGAAGAAAGGAGUGUACCGCAGGGCGAUUACAGAAGCUGCAAAAGCAGCUGAUCACCUGACACCUGAAAUCCGAUCUCUCCUUUCGCAAUAUGAAACUUAACUGAGCCAAAGCAGAUAGCCGAAGAUCAGGAGAAAAAAAAGUCAAUAUCCUCUCUGAUUUAAAUGGCUUUGAUCUUCAGCCAGUACUCCAUUGGAGAAUUUUGUUUGGUAUUUACGAGGCUAUCGGAUCCUGGUGAAUUCUUGUCAACAGUUAUCUUGAAGGAGCCGAAGGACUGGGCUAUAUCUGUGACGGGCAAGAGUGGAGCAGAGGGAAGUCUGACAUUUCAUUUUGGACUGUUAUUGAUUGUGAUGGAGCCCAUAUUCUCAUGGGUGGACAGUGAAUAGUAUAAGUUGGAAUGUAGCUAUUUAAGUCACUACUCUUUGUCUAAGACUUGUCUCAAUCAAAAUAAAAUUACUGCAAAAAUUUCUAAGGGUGAGUAAUGGAUAAAGACUAGUCUCUUUAUUUUGAUUCCUUUUUUUUAAUUAUGUAAUGCAGUAGUUUUAAUACAGCAAGUAUAAAAUGUCGAAAUACUGCAAUUGCCCAAUGGCCUUGCAAACAAUUGCAAGGCAUAAUAGGCAUUAUUUGUAACUUCAUUAGCAUUUAGCAGCAUAUGAUUAUCUCUGCACUAGAUGCAAAGCUUGCUGAAGGCCUGUGUUGCCUCUUCCUCCAGUAACAUUGGAUAUGUUCCAAAUGCACAAGUAAUGCUGAAGUAGUAAUGGUUUGAAAAUAGUUCCGUACUGUAAUCUGAAGAUGAAAUUGUAACAUGAUGAGUUUACAGUGGAGAAGAGUUAAUUAAUAAAAAGAUCAAGUUUCCAGGGGGAGUCCUUAUUGAAAGGCAUUUAAUGUUGACUCUUUGACAUUGAGCAAUAUUGUAGAUGCCAUGAUUUGGUGUUUUCUAAUUACACCCUGUUUUCAUUGUAAAAUGAUGGCUAGCUGUAAUGUUUGUUUUGCACAACAAUGCUAAAAUAACUGCAUACUGUCAAUUUUUUUGAAGAUUUAAUGAAGAGGAAAGUAAAAUUUAAUGAGAAUCAUGUCAUGUCUGAAAAAUAAUACCUGACUGGUUAAAAGGGGUUAACAGAUUUAUUGAGUGCAUUGUUCUCAUGUUUAGAAUGAUUGGGGCCCAGAGUAAGUUACAUUUUGCAUAAUGGAGCUCGCUAAUUCUGACUGAGUCUAAUUUGUUUCAAAAAGAUUGUCCUGAUUUAACCGCUGAAAAAAGCACUACCUGAUGCUUACCAGUGUGUCCUUGCUCAGUUUUGUUCUUCAGAGAUGCCUUUUUGAGUAUUCCAUUAUGUGCCAGUUAGUUAUCAUGUCUUCAUGACUUUGAGCCAUACACAUCAGUAAGUCUGUCCUAUAUUCUGCCCAAAUAUUUGUUAUAGGUAAUGUUCUUAGUGUGCAGAUGGAUUUUAAGUCUAUGAUAGGAGGGGUUAAAAAAAAAAUCACUUUUGUUCCUAGCUUUGUCCAUUUGAUCCUGCUAUAAUACAGUCUCUCUAGUUAUCAAAUUAGGCAAGUCUGAAAUGCAGUCCACAAUAUAAGGAAUGGACACUUAAGUAUUGAGGAUUGAUUAUCUGCAGAACAAAAUGAAAACAUGAGCAGGUGCCUUCAGAAGGGAAAUCUGGAGAAAUGGAACAGUUUAGAAGCAGUUAUUUUGUAUGGAAUGUACUUGCCAUAUGGGACUAGGGGAUCAGCAAACACUUUCUGCAGGAGUUGAGAAUGUUAUUUGAAGUGAAAUUUGAGGUGGUAUUCACUCCUGACUUCCUCUGGUCCAUUUUUCUUAAAAGUGCGCAAAUGACCGGUUUCAAAUAUAGGGUUUUGGGGUAAUUCAGUUGUCAAUCUCUUUAUACAUCUAGGAAGCCUGAAGACUUAUCUGAAGGAUUCCACCACAUUCCCAGUGCCCCUUUUUUUGUUGCAAAUUUCUGCAUGAGAUCAUUUUGCUUGCCUGGAUGCUGACAAUACCUGUAGAUGCAAUAUCACUUGCUCAGACUUUUCCGGGAAUCAACACUGAGAUCAGCAACAAUCAGCACUGAGACACAGCAGUGGAGGGCUGACUGAGUGAAGAGGUCCUGGUUCUGCUGCCGAGACAGAGAUCUCUGGAUAGAAACCUGUUCGAACAGUUCCACUGAACUGAUAAUGUUCAAGUUAACAUGGAGUAAGGAAUGUUGGGCACAUUUCUCAGUGCCUUAGAGCCUGUUGGGAAAUGCCUUUCCUGGUACAUUUGGCAAGAUUUAUUUUCUCCCUUGCCAUGUUAUCCAGUAUGCUGUCAAUACCAGUGCAGUACAGCAGUGUUAUCAUUUGUAUGAUAAUAAUCUACUCACAGAGUGACCAAGCUUUACUAACCCUGUUGCCCUGCAACAAUAUAAAGUGCUAAGACUAAAGUAUGUAUUGCCUGGCAUCACUGAAAUCUCUGACCACCUUAGAUCUUAAAUGCAAAUUACAUGCUUGUGAUGUUUUUCCAUCAGAGGUCAAGGUCAUACUUAGUCUCUGCUUCCUCAGCCAAAAAUCACUCCAGCCAGCCGUUGCUGAUCUUGGCACUAUCCUACAUUUUGUUGCUCUGUGUUGCAGUACGGAGGGCAGUUAAACUUCAAGCUCAAGAGACGUCUUUAUCUAUGUUUUGCUUAGAAGCAGGGAGAGCAGACCCAGACAUUCCAUAAAGAUUCAAUAUUGCUUAUUGUCAUUCUUCAAUGCACGAGUAUGAGAACAAAAUGGUUGUUAGUCCAAAUCCAAUGCAGCAUAAUAAAAACACAAUGAGCAUAAAAACGCAAUAAAUAUAAAUAUAGCAGCAACCCUAUAAAACACGGUGCACAAGUAAAGAGGCAGUGUGUGGGGGAAUGAAGGGUGCUGUGGAGAGGAGUGGCUGAUAUGGAUGCAGUGGUGGGGGGGGGGGUUAAUGGAUGGAGAUGUUGAUCAGCCUCAUGCCAUGGGGCUGUAAUUGUUUUUGAAUCCAGUACUCAUGGCCUUUCUGAUGAAAGUUCCUCAAUCAAAGACUGCACUCAUAUUCUUGCAGAGACCCCUGGCAGCUGCCUGCUGAAAAAUCUAUGCGGCCCCCAUGCACAAGGUACAUGCCUCCUGCGAGCAUCUGUCUGCACCAGUCCGUCCAGGAGCGUACUCAUGUCCUGUUUCCCAUCUGUGCAAUACUCCCUCCGUAGCAACAUCCUCAAGUAGUUGGAGCAGGUUUGUUGCACUGUGUAAUGUUACAUCCCAUGAAGAGUUGUUCAAACUGCUCUGAUGUAAGCUGAGAUGUACCAGAACCUUAAACAAUUCAGUAGAGAAUAAUGUGUUAAAGACCAACAGUGUUGGGGUGAACCAACAUCAAAAUAUUGUACCCGUGCUGUGCUAACUAGUGUGCGAUGAGCUUGAUCAAAUUCCAGAGGGUUUAGCAAAUAGUGGAGAAUGCAUUUCACCAAUUGUUGUGGGAUUCUUUUGCCUGAUGCACAUCUGGAAUUCAUCAUUGUGCUCCUUGGUCUUCUGCAGAGGAGCCCCGGCAACAGUAGUCACUCACCUCAAACAAAAGAAGGAAAACUAGUAGAGGGCAAACAUUUCUAUACUUCCCUCCAUGAACUCAUGACAUGCUGAAGGGCUUUACAGACAAUGGAGAAUUCUCAAAAUGUAGCAUUAGAGCCAGUUCACACACAGUAAGUUCUUGCUGUGAAUGAUGUAGUAAGAACCAGAUAUUCUUUUUGUGGUGAAGCUGGCGAACAGAUGUGUUAACUUGGAUCCAUGAGGACAUUAAAAAUAAAACAGGAGCAGGAUUAGGCCAUUGGGUCUCUCAAGCCUGCUUUGCCAUUCAAUGAAAUCAUGCCAGAUAUUCUAGCUCAACAUCAUGUUCUUGCUCUGUUCUCAUGUCCUUUGUUUCCCCAAAUACUAAACAAUUCAUCAAUCUCAGUUUCAAAUGCAGUCAGUGACUGAGAAAUCCAGUGAUCUACAACCCUCUGGGCAAAGGAAUUUCUCCUCAUUUCAGUUGCAAAUAUCUUCCCCUUAUGCUGAGUUAAUGACCAUUAUUUCUAGAUCCCUCAGCCAGAGAAAACCUUCCUCCCAUGUUUACCAUGUUGCUCCCUCUAACAAUUUUGCAGGACUAGCAAAGAUUAUGCUAAAAAAAAUUUAAUUUAUUAAGGAAGAAAUUUCCAAGGUUUUAUUCCAAUGAAACCAUAAUUGUGAUGAGGAGGCAUGACAAUGAGUCUUGGUGAAAUUUCAAUGUUUUAUACAACCUAUAUAUACUGAGCAGAUGGUGAUUAGGACAAGCUCAAUAGGACUAUUGAUCAGUGGAGUAUUAGAUUCUGAUGAUAGAUGGGUGAAGAUUAUAGUGAAUGAAAUGGUUUAUUAUAAAGGAAGUGACAAUCAGAUAACCAGUUUUUGAAGUAACAUAUUCACGAUAGAACAAAGUAAUCCCAUUCUGAAAGGUAGCAAUCAUCCUUUAUCUUAUUUAAUAUAUCAUAUUAAGUAUUCUUCCUGAUAAUGUCUUUUACACUUAGUUUGAUGCACGGAACGAUGUGCCAGCGAGGAAGGCUCCCUUUUCCCCCUGAGGAGCAGGCAUUUUGUCGUGCCAUAGCUAAAGCCCCUAGCCAUGGUCAACACACGUAACACUGCGGGGCCUAAUGACAUACCCGGUCAGGUGCCGAUGGACGAUGCAGCCCAGUUAACUGAAGUUCUAACAGACAUCUUCAACAUCCCUUUUUAACAGACCACUGUCCCAUCAUGCUUUAAGGUGGCCACAAUCAUCCUGGUGUCCAAGAGGCCAACAGUCUCCUACCUCAAUCACUACCGUCCAGUGGUACUGACCUCAACAUUAAUGAAGUACUUUGAGCAGCUAGUUAUGGAUCACAUUAAAUCCCAACUUCCUGCUACAUUGGACUCUUUUCAGUUUGCUUAUUGCUGAAAUCAGUCCACUGAGGAUGCCAUAGACUCUGCAGUCCACCCUGUCCUGUCCCUCCUGGAACAUGGUGCCUCAUAUGCCAUAAUGCUGUUUAUUGUCUUCUGCUCGGCGUAUAAUACAAUCACUGCUCAGAAGCUGGUGGGUAAACUGUCCUCAUUGGGUUUCAACACUUUUGUUUGUAACUGGAUCCUGGACUUCUCGACAGAAAGGCCACACACAGUCAGUCCAUCUAGGUGAAUCGUCUCUAGCUCCAUCACACCAAGCACUGGCACUCUCCAGGGCUGCAUGUUCGGCCCACUGCUGACAUAUGACUGCCUUGCGAGGCAUCAAGUUUGCUGAUGACACAAUGGUGGGUGCCUUCAUCAACAAUAACGACGAGAUGGCAUACAGAGAGGUGGUAGAGUAGCUGGUAGAUUAGUGCAUGCACGUCAACUUGAGUCUCAAUGUAGACAAGACCAAAGAGAUAACUGUGGACUUUAGGAAGGUGCAGGCUGACCAUUCCUCACUGCAUGUGCACGGCUCCUCCAUGGAGAGAGUUAGGAGCACCAAGUUGCUGGAAGUGCAAAUAAAGAAUGAUCUCAUUUGGUCCCUCAUCACCCUCUUUGGUCAAGAAAGCACAGCAUCUUCACUUCCUGAGGAGAUUGAGAUAAAUAAGGCUCCACUACUCCUACCCAGCCCAUCUUUACCAGUUUUUUACAGUAGCACCAUCAAGAGUGUCCUGACCAGCUACAUCACUGUCUGGUAUGGGAAUUGCAAGGCAUCUAAAUGCAAAUCCCUACAAAGGACUGCUGAGAAGAUCAGCAUUAUCUUCCACUCAUUAGAGAUGUUUAUCAGGAGCGCUGCAUACACAGAGUGCUUAGCAUUAUCAGUGAUCCCUCCCAUUUGUCCAACAAUCUCUUUGGACAAGAACUGUUAAGGUAAGAAACAACUUCUUCCCCCAAACUGCAAGACUACUGAACUCUCUGCCACCACCCAGGGCUCAUCACGUUUGAAGUGCCAGAAGCGUUAUACUGUUUACUUUUUAACUUGUAUGAAGAUGCACCUUAUUAUUUGUUAAUUUAUUUGUGGUAAUGUUACUUUAUGUAUUAUGUGUGUGAGUUACUGUACAUAUACUGUGUUGUGCACCUUAGUCUGGAGGAACGUUUUGUAUACAUGUGUACGGCUGAAUGACAAUAAACUGAACUUGAACUUAAUAAAUGCUCUGCAUUGGUGUUCAGUGCAAAUUGUAUGUGGGGAGCAGCAGCUAUUACAUAUUUACCGAAUUUUCAUUUACUGCUAAGGACAUAAUUUUACAACAGAAGUGAAAGGUAGGUUUAAGAGCAUUCUAAACUGUCCAUUAUUUAUUAAUCUUUAAUAAUGAUAUUUUUAUAGCAAAGUAGCACAUGCAAAAUAUACCUGCAGUAUAUGGUUUUUUGUAUAGAUUUUGAUUUAAGUUUUACUAUGUAUUUGCAUCAAUGUUUACAUAUCAAAAAUUUGCUGACUGUAAUGCCAAUUACCUGUUGUAUUAUUUUACUUGAAAUAAUACAGAUAUUUGCUCUUUGGAUGUUUAAGUGCAUGAUUUCUAUUGAGAAAAAUAUGAAUAAUUUUCAUUAAACAAGUAUGCAUAACAAAAUGAUGCAAAUGUGUUUUUUUGCAUAGAUGUUUGCUAAACUCUCUUGAACAUGAUAGUACAGUUGAUACACUCCCAUCCUUUGAAUAUCUGAGUGCUCCUGUCAUUUCAGUUUCUCUGUAUUUUUCAACCUUCCUUUGUCUAUGUUAG
RNA transcript from Hypanus sabinus (Atlantic stingray), 8769 nucleotides. It is a transcript of the gene named PWWP domain containing 2B, with no coding region annotated. The transcript is spliced from 5 exons. The record is from RefSeq and is a predicted model, not a curated record. Lineage: Eukaryota; Metazoa; Chordata; Chondrichthyes; Myliobatiformes; Dasyatidae.